This 1241-nucleotide ribosomal RNA is filed under the name metagenome. RNAcentral's name for it is "bacterial LSU rRNA". It matches the Rfam family "Bacterial large subunit ribosomal RNA", at positions 1564 to 2815 of the family's 2925-position model. The record is from RNAcentral.
UGAUGACGAGACGCUAAGGCGUUGAAGCAGUGUAUGUCAGACUCCCAAGAAAAGCUCGCAAUGUCACAUAUAAAAAAUGCCUGUACCAUAACCGACACAGGUGGGUAGGUAGAGUAUACUAAGGGGCGCGAGAUAACUCUCUCUAAGGAACUCGGCAAAAUGACUCCGUAACUUCGGGAGAAGGAGUGCCUUAUUUAUAAGGUUGCAAUAACAAGAUCCAAGCAACUGUUUAUCAAAAACACAGGUCUCCGCUAAGUCGUAAGACGAUGUAUGGGGGCUGACGCCUGCCCAGUGCCAGAAGGUUAAAGAAGUUGGUUAGUGUAUGCGAAGCUGAUGACUGAAGCCCUGGUGAACGGCGGCCGUAACUAUAACGGUCCUAAGGUAGCGAAAUUCCUUGUCGGGUAAGUUCCGACCCGCACGAAAGGCGUAAUGAUUUGGAUACUGUCUCGGAGAGAGGCUCGGUGAAAUAGACUUGUCUGUGAAGAUGCGGACUACCUGCACCAGGACAGAAAGACCCUAUGAAGCUUUACUGUAACUUGAAAUUGGAAUUGGACUUUGCUUGCGCAGUAUAGGUGGGAAGCGUUGAAAAUAUUCUUGCGGGAGUAUUGGAGCUAUCAGUGAGAUACCACUCUUGUAAUGUUAGAUUUCUAACUUUGAACCAUAAUCUGGUCAAAGAACAGUUUCAGGUGGGCAGUUUGACUGGGGCGGUCGCCCCCAAAUGGUAACGGAGGCGUACAAAGGUUUCCUCUGAACGGAUAGAAAUCGUAUCUAGAGUGUAAAGGCAUAAGGAAGCUUGACUGUGAGACCUACAAGUCGAGCAGGGACGAAAGUCGGUCUUAGUGAUCUGACGGUACUGAGUGGAAAGGCCGUCACUCAACGGAUAAAAGUUACUCUAAGGAUAACAGGCUGGUCUCCCCCAAGAGUUCACAUCGACGGGGAGGUUUGGCACCUCGAUGUCGGCUCAUCGCAUCCUGGGGCGGUAGUACGUCCCAAGGGUUGGGCUGUUCGCCCAUGAAAGCGGUACGCGAGCUGGGUUCAGAACGUCGUGAGACAGUUCGGUCCAUAUCCGGUGUAGGCGCUAGAAUAUUGAGAGGAGCCUUCUUUAGUACGAGAGGACCGAGAAGGACACACCGCUGGUGUACCAGUUAUCGUGCCAACGGUAAACGCUGGGUAGCUAUGUGUGGAGUGGAUAACCGCUGAAAGCAUCUAAGUGGGAAGCCCACCUCGAGAUGAGUAUUCUC